UGGCUCAGAGGUUAAAGCGUCUGCCUGCAAUGCAGGAGACCUGGAUUCGAUCCCUAG
This 57-nucleotide transfer RNA is filed under the name Ovis aries (sheep). Lineage: Eukaryota; Metazoa; Chordata; Mammalia; Artiodactyla; Bovidae. The record is from Rfam by way of RNAcentral.